This is a long non-coding RNA of Octopus sinensis (East Asian common octopus), 265 nucleotides long. RefSeq lists it as uncharacterized. NCBI's taxonomy places the organism in Eukaryota, Metazoa, Mollusca, Cephalopoda, Octopoda, Octopodidae. The record is from RefSeq and is a predicted model, not a curated record. The transcript is spliced from 3 exons.
UUGCCAAAAUUGUUGUUUCUUUUCAUAUAUCAUCGGAAAAACGUAAUUAAAAUGAUAGAUCUAUCAGACUUUCAAAGAGGUCAAAUUGUUGUUGCUCAUAUGGCAGGCGAUAUCGUAACGAAAGCAGCCGGAAUGUUUGGUGUAUGAAGAAGUACUGUUUUGAAAGUAAUAACUGUCUUUGAGAAAGAGGGAAAAACCUUAUCAUCGAAAUAAAACUCCAGAAGAAAACCAAGACGUUCAGAUAAGGAGCAUUGGAGACUUACAC